RNAcentral lists this ribosomal RNA (1107 nucleotides) under Vibrio alginolyticus. RNAcentral's name for it is "bacterial SSU rRNA". It matches the Rfam family "Bacterial small subunit ribosomal RNA", at positions 75 to 1364 of the family's 1533-position model. Lineage: Bacteria; Pseudomonadati; Pseudomonadota; Gammaproteobacteria; Vibrionales; Vibrionaceae. The record is from RNAcentral.
CAUGGUAGCAUGAUAACGGACUACACGGCACGUAUCCUACGCGUUUCAGACAUUUAAGCCUACAUCGAACUUAGAUCAGUCCAGGAUUCGUACGAGCAGCAAUGGAAUAUGCCCAAUCGAGCAAGGCCUGAGCGCUUGCCGCGGUUUGAGAAGCAUCGGUCGUAAGUUACUUUCAGUCGUGAGGAGACGAGUCGUUGAAGCGCGUGUUUGACCGUCAGCGACAGAAGAAGCACUGGCUAAGUCCGUGCCAGCCAGUCGCGGUAAUAACGGAGGGUGCUAGCGUUAAUCAGAAUUACUUGGCGUAAAAGCGCAUGCAGGUGGUUUGUUUAAGUAAGAUGUGAAAGCCCGGGGCUCACCCUCGGCAUUGCAUUGAAACUGGCAGACUAGAAGUACUGUAGAGGGGGGUAGAAUUUCAGGUGUAGCGGUGAAAAUGCGUAGAGAUCUGAAGGAAUACCGGUGGCGAGGGCGGCCCCCCGGGACAGAUACUGACACUCAGAUGCGAUAGCGUGGGGAGCAAACAGGAUUAGAUACCCUGGUAGUCCACGCCGUAAACGAUGUCUACUUGGAGGUUGUGGCCUGAGCCGUGGCUUUCGGAGCUAACGCGUUAAGUAGACCGCCUGGGGAGUACGGUCGCAAGAUUAAAACUCAAAUGAAUUGACGGGGGCCCGCACAAGCGGUGGAGCAUGUGGUUUAAUUCGAUGCAACGCGAAGAACCUUACCUACUCUUGACAUCCAGAGAACUUUCCAGAGAUGGAUUGGUGCCUUCGGGAACUCUGAGACAGGUGCUGCAUGGCUGUCGUCAGCUCGUGUUGUGAAAUGUUGGGUUAAGUCCCGCAACGAGCGCAACCCUUAUCCUUGUUUGCCAGCGAGUAAUGUCGGGAACUCCAGGGAGACUGCCGGUGAUAAACCGGAGGAAGGUGGGGACGACGUCAAGUCAUCAUGGCCCUUACGAGUAGGGCUACACACUGCUACAAUGGCGCAUACAGAGGGCGGCCAACUUGCGAAAGUGAGCGAAUCCCAAAAAUGCGUCGUAGUCCGGAUUGGAGUCUGCAACUCGACUCCAUGAAGUAGGAAUCGCUUGUAAUCGUGGAUCAGAAUACCACAAAA